RNAcentral lists this ribosomal RNA (509 nucleotides) under uncultured bacterium. RNAcentral describes it as "partial 16S ribosomal RNA". It matches the Rfam family "Bacterial small subunit ribosomal RNA", at positions 28 to 523 of the family's 1533-position model. The record is from RNAcentral.
GACGAACGCUGGCGGCGCGCUUAAUACAUGCAAGUCGAGCGAGAACCAGGGCUUCGGCUCUGGGGACAGCGGCGAACGGGUGAGUAACACGUGGGUAAUCAACCCCCGACACCGGGAUAGCCCAGGGAAACUUGGAUUAAUACCGGAUGCCCCGUCUGGCCUUCGGGCCGGCCGGAAAAGGGUAGCUUCGGCCUCUGGUCGGGGACGAGCCCGCGGCGGAUUAGCUUGUUGGGGAGGUAAAGGCUCACCAAGGCGACGAUCCGUAGCUGGUCUGAGAGGACGAUCAGCCACACUGGGACUAAGACACGGCCCAGACUCCUACGGGAGGCAGCAGUAGGGAAUCUUGCGCAAUGGGCGAAAGCCUGACGCAGCGACGCCGCGUGAGGGAAGAAGGCCUUCGGGUUGUAAACCUCUUUCAGGAGGGACGAAGCCACUCGGGUUAAUAGCCUAGAGGGUGACCGUACCUCCAGAAGAAGCCCCGGCUAACUACGUGCCAGCCGCCGCCGUAA